Molecule: long non-coding RNA, 431 nt
Filed under: Salmo salar (Atlantic salmon)
Lineage: Eukaryota; Metazoa; Chordata; Actinopteri; Salmoniformes; Salmonidae
Description: lncRNA (ENSSSAG00000071994.2)
Source: RNAcentral
ACACAACCUCGCGACCCUUGGCACAGCCAGAGCAAACACAGUCUGCACGCAAUGCCGGUUUGAGUCAGCGUAAAAAAAGCGCAUGGCAGCUUCGUGCGUGACAGAAAGAUGGAUGACCGAAAUAUUUCCGCACGCAACUAUUGUUUUUCCCGGACCUGAGCCCUAGGACCAUGCCUCAGGACUACCUGGCCUGAUGACUCCUUACUGUCCCCAGUCCACCUGGCCGUGCUGCUGCUCCAGUUUCAACUGUUCUGCCUGCGGCUAUGGAACCCUGACCGGUUCACCGGACGUGCUACCUGUCCCAGACCUGCUGUUUUCAACUCUCUAGAGACAGCAGGAGCGGUAGAGAUACUCUGAAUGAUCGGCUAUGAAAAGCCAACUGACAUUUGCUCCUGAGGUGCUGACCCGUUGCACCCUCGACAACCACUGUG